UGGCCAACAAGUGUGUGUGUGUGUGUGUGAGUGUGCGCGCGCGCUCGUGUGUGUUUAGGCAGAUUUAUUUAACAGUAAAUGAACACAGAUGCAGAGGGUUGUUACUGAAGUGUGGCUUUUUGUUCCGUGUUAUAAUCUGUAGCUAGCUUGAAUGUAAAUGAUGUAUUUUAACGUUAGAACCAGGCUUACAUUUGAUUCCAGGCCCUUCAUACUUCUGUCCUGUAUUUUUAUCCUGUAUUUAUUUAUUUAUUUAUUUAUUUUUGGUAAUUUGGCUGUACAAACUCACUAUAGCUUUCUGUGAUAGAGAUUUCAGCAUAAGAAAAAAAAAAUCACCUAGAUAUCAUGUGUACGCAAGAUUUAAACAUCAAUAUUGUAAAGCAUGUAAAUUCCCCUAUUGUCUAAUUAAACGAAUUAGUACAACUGUGCAUUUGUUUUAAGGUAAUUGAUAUUGGGCAUUUUGCUGUAGAUAUUGCUGAAAGUGUAAUGAUCAGUGGCUACUGGUUUCAUUUGAAGUGACUGUCGAACACACUGAACCAAAUGCAUAUUCGUAAAUCGAAUACUGUUCCAUGGCAUUUCUAAUCUGAGAUGAUGAAUACGCUGUUGUAUUUGUAUGUCAGCAUGCUUUAAUAAGUAACACCGACUAUAACAGUGCCAUAUUGUCCCUCGCUCUGGCGUGUGAUGUAAUUGCUCACUCGAUUGCGUCAUUGAUUGCGUCUUUCCUGGCGGGCACUGAAAGGGUCCUGUGGUCAUAGCUACUACUGUACAUCAAGGUUUGGCUCUGUCCCAAACCACAUAGUGUCCUGCUAAAUAAUAUGUGACAGUAGUAUAAUACAAGAUACAUAGAGGGAAGAGUUAAAAAGUUUGGGAUCUCCGACCUCAUAACUAGUGCUGCGACGAUACGCGUUUUUGAAAAACAUGAUUAUUAUUCUUUUUUAAAAGAUUUUUUGGCUGUUUAGAAUCACACAUUUCUCUAGUACAGUUUCCGUUUGCGCCAAAGCCAUAAUAACGCAGACUCAACUACCAACCAAUAGAAAUAUCCUUUAUAGUCCUUUAAAUAUUCCUUAUCCAUUAUCAACAGUACUGUCAGUAAUAUAUAGUACAAAUAUCAACAGUACUACGAGCAAUAUAUCAGUAUAAUUUACAGUAACUACAUGCAAAAUGGUUAUCGGAACAUAUACGGUAUUUAGUUGAUAACCGAAGCUUUAUACUCAAGAAGAAACUGAACCACUUUGUCAUUUCAACAUCCAUAAUCUUGUUUGUGAUGUCUUCAGCACAACAUGGGUCGAGUCCUAUGAAGACAAAAACAAAACAUUUAUUGAAGACAAAAACAAAACAUUAUCAUCUUAUCUGGCUUAAACAAAUAUUUUAUCCUAGACAAUUCCCAGGACAUUUUGGAUACAAGUGCAUAUCUAAAGUGUUUCAGGCUGACACUGCGUUUGCAGACCAAAGAACAAAGCUGUCUCGGUGUGAGACCUACACCUUGUAGCUAAAGAAUUAAAAGGCAAAAAUGGCUCAUUGACUGAAUGAGCAGUGAGACAGGUCUGGCCUGACAGUGUUUGAGCUCUGAACAUUGGACCUGUUGCAAGCAGAAUGAGAAUAAAUGUGACCAACAGAGACAGUUAAUGGUAGUUUGAUGAAAUGAAUCAUGCAGCCCAUGCCCAGCAGAAGUAACAACUUAAUUUGAAUCAUAUCUUUAUCAGACACACUCAGCCUCAAAAAACACAAACUCAUAACAAACCUCUUGCCAGCCUGCAAAAUUAGCAGCUGCACAACCCUUUAUGUGCAGUCAGCUUAACAUGUCUGCUGAAGCAAGACACGGCCUGUAGUUUAAAUAGCAGCUUGAUAUUCUGUUAUGCAAUGUGUUAUUCACUUAUCUGUUUGCUAUGUACAAAGAUACUUUUCUGUAUGUUUGCGUUCAUGUUUAACAUAACCAAAUCAUAUCUACACAAUAUCCAUAAUCCUGUGAUCAUGCUGUCAUAGAGAAAUUGCUGCUUUAACACAGCCAUGUCUCUCAACAGUGCAUGAGAGGAGCUCGAACAGUGUAUAAACCUAGUGUAACUGUCAUGCAUGAAAAUCAUGCAAUGAUUUGUAAUUUCCGGUACAAUAUCUAUAGUAAAGCACUGAGAAUCACCCAGUAAUGUUCCGAUAUUGACAUUCUCGCAAUACCCACGUCGACUCUCUACAAAGUUUUGUUACAUCGUGCUUAGAGCUGUCUUGUUUGCCUCCUGUACAUCAGUCAGCAUCAGACGCCUUCACGGCAUAAAAUACAUCACUGGAUCAAAUCAUAAGAUAUGUCAAAUUUGAUCCGUUACUCAUCCAGCAUUUUAGAUCAGAUGCUCAGUAUCUGAUUGGUGUGUCCAUAGUGCAUGAAUAUCAGUCCCUCCAGGAUUUUGUGAUUAUGUGAUCGCAGAAAUGAAUGCAAAACCUGAUUAAAAACCAUAUUGAUGCACGGUAACGGCACUCCGCUUCAUGUCUUGCCGCUUUACACCACCCCGUCGUGGAUUAUUUUUUAUAACCGUAUGGUCUGUCCUGUGUUAUUCUUUAAUUAAUCACCAUGGAAACUCAUAUUUAAUAACAUAUUAUUCAAUAUUAUUAUAUUUACAUAGUGUUGUGGUAUACACCGAUCAGCCAUAACAUUAAAGCCACUGACAGGUGAAGUGAAUAACAUUCAUUAUUUCAUUACAGUGCCACCUGUCACAGGGUGGGAUAUAUUAGGUAGCAAGUGAACAGUCAGUUGUUGAAGUUAAUGUGUUGGAAGCAGGACAAAUGGGCAAGCAUAAGGAUCUUAAUUUGGACUUUGACAAGGGCCAAAUUGUGAUGGCUAGACAUCUGGGUCAGACCACAGUGCAUAAAUUGUUCAGGAAUGCUUUGAGGAACAUGACAAAGAGUUCAAGGUGUUGACUUGGCCUCCAAAUUCCUGAGAUCUCAAUCCGAUCGAGCAUCUGUGGGAUUUGCUGGACAAACAAGUCUGAUCCAAUGGCGGCUCCACCUCAGAACUUACAGGACUUAAAGGAUCUGCUGCUAACGUCUUGGUGCCAGAUACCACAGCACACUUUCAGAGGUCUUGUGGUGUCCAUGCCUCGACGGAUCAGAGCUGAUUUGGCUGCACAAGGGGACAUGAUGUUAGGCAGGUGGUUUUAAUGUUAUGGCUGAUCGGUGUAAAAUAAUGGAACAUUAAUAUAUGGAAACUGUAUAAACCUGUAGUUCUGAACAAUAAAAUGGACAAUAUUUAUUGAUAAUUUUGUUCUGACUUGUCAGUGUCUCACAGUUGCUGAUAAUCCCAGCACUAGAUAUGAAGUUAGAGAUUUAAAUCGACUGUUAAACAAAAAAAGGUGAGUUACAAGCAGUUGCAAAAUGGACGGUUUCAGAAACUCUGCCUGAGCCAAGGACGCAAUUAACCGGUAAAGCAUAUUAAAAAUGACUAGCAUUGUUAGCUUAAGCGCUGUUCAAAUGAAACCAUCGCAUCCUGUCAUCCUGGAAUUUUCUUCUUGUGUGAAUGCGCUGGAUUCAGUAAUAUUAUAGCAACAGACUGUGUGUAAGAACUGACAGCAUUGCUAGAAAGUUCGCAAGGUUCCAGAUUUUUUAUGUGUGCAGGACCCUGUCCUGCUUUCUCUCUCUCUCUCUCUCUCUUUCCCUCACUCUCUCGCUCACACACACACACACACACACACACACACACACACACACUAUCUCUGUCUUAUUCUCUUACUAUCUAUGUCUUUCUCUGGCUCUGUAUCUGUUUUCCAUUUUUCACCAACCAGUAUUAUGCCAUUCCAAACACCAGAACAAGCAGCUGCAAGUCCUAACUCUCCCUGACUUGCAGACACUUUUUACACAACACUGACUUGAUGUUCAUCAAUUGUCUUGCUGAUAAAGACACAAAACCGCACUGAAAUAUCCAGGAACACCAUUUGCUUUUAUUUGCGUGAGGAUGCCAGGAGGCAAAGCAGCUGAAAGCCACGUGAAUUUAUACUUCUUUAGGCUUAAUAAGAACACUUCCUGUAGUUUGGAAAUGUUUUUACUAUUGUGUUACAUUGUAACUGUGAUGAAUUGCACAAUAUCAGAGGUUUGUAGGGAAUCUGAGAGCAUUUCAGUAUGGGUAGAAUAAGAUUAUGGGAGCAUUACAGAGCAGGUGUGAGCGCACGCGUGUGUGUGUGUGUGUGUGUUUGGUGGUAUGGGGGUUGUGUGAGUUUGAAUGCUGAUGGUUGAGGAGCAUGGAGGACUGAAAAGGCCAGCUGUCCCUACCAUGAUAAAGAUUUUUUUUAAAUCAGAGAAUCUGAAUACGAAUCCAUUUUCAAGGUGUAAUUUUUCUACUCAUCAACUUAUUUUGUAUGCUUAGCUUCUAUUAUUCAGAUCAGUUCAGUUUUAUUUGUGCAGCAUUUUAACAGUAGACAUUGUCGGGGUAGAGUAUACAGUACUAAGUGUGUUGAAAGGGUGUUAUAUUGUGAAUAAGAGUCUUUCAGAUUACAGCAGCAGUUCUUAGGUACAACUUUACAGAAUCCAUUUGAGAUUUCUGUAGAGAUCCAGGUUUUGGGAAGUAUAAAUCUUUAGGGAAUCCAUGUAGGAUACCCUCACAUUAUCUGCAUUGUAGGGGAUAUUAGAAGUAGAGGGUGUCAGACAGAGUGUCAUGUCCCACAUUAGCUACCCAAUUUACUCCAACUAGGGUUGGGAAAUACGACCAUAUAAUGUUGAUAUUGUGAUGAUGUCACAGUGCACAAUUCUGAGAUAUCUUUUAUAAUUUUUUUUAUUAAUUACAAAGUGACUAGUAGCGGCUGAUGUGAUGUUACGUGUUUCAGUUAUAUUUUACGUAUUUUUCAUUAGUUAUUUUAAUAAAAAAUACAUUUAUAUUUGUAGAUAUAAGAUAAAUCAUUGAACAGGUUUUUUCUUUUUUUUAAAUUAAUCACUACUGUGUUGCUGUCCUAUAUAUUGCAAUGCAGGACAUAUUGUGUGUGCCGAAGUGCCUUCAGGAAUCGUGAUUAGUUAGAGAUGGCACGAUACCACGUUUUCUUUUCCGAUACCGAUACUGAAACCUUGAGUACCCGCCGAUACUAGUACCUAGGGCUGGCUGAUAUGACAGAAAUAUCACGAUACUUGAGGACAUUUCUACGAUGCACAAUGGGCAUCACAAUAUAUAAUUUAGCCAACAAACUAUCCUCAAAACAGUAGUAAAAUAACCAAAACAACAUUAAACUGACUUUGUUGGUCCGUUUCUUUAAUACCCACAAAGACAAGGAAGAUGAAUUUUUUUUAAUUACCUCAAAUCAAUGACAUCCAUUCAGUAGCAAAUAAUUUGUAAUUAUCAAAAACAAAAAAAUACAUCACCAUACCAACAAUAUCACAGAAAAGUGUAUAGCGUAAUCAUUUAUCUUGAUAUCAAUGUUAUAUCAAUAUAUCGCCCAGCUCUACCGGUACCUGUUCGAUAUUGUUUUCUGCAAAAACUUCUAAGCUUUCAAACGACUGAGCGCUUCACAAUUCGACUCUUUCACACAAAAAUCACUUACAUUGUAAAUAUAGUGAAUAUUAUGAAGAAUAAAUAUAAUCAAAUCAAUCCUAAGAAAAAAACAGUCAAGUCGGUUUCUUUUCCAAAUCCAGUACCAAUCUUUGCUAUUUGUUACAGGAUCUGAUGUCCGAUAGGUUUUCUCCAAUUUCCAAUCAACAUGAUCUUUUUGUCAUAUCGACCCCUAACCCAGCCACGGUAGAGUACUAUUCAGUCUGUACAGGACUUCAGUCCGGCCAUAAAUGCGUGUUGUGAUGACGCCACAUGACACAUCUUGACCCAAAUCUGCGCAAAAUCUGCUGUAAAAUUGAAAAAUCGCAAACUCCUUAGAAUAUUGCAGAGUUUUUGAUUGAGUGCUUAAUUCUGCAUUCAUUUCUGUGAUUGAAAAAUUGCAAAAUCUUUGAGGGACUGUCUGUUUUUUUAAAAUUUUUUUAUUUUUUAUUUUGACAAAUAAACAGGAUCACCACCGGACUCUUCAGCGUUCACUCUAGAUAUCUACUGAAUACAGUAUACUGAAUACAAACUCGGUCUUUUGAGGCCCCUCGACAUAUGUUUUUGACUCAUGCCAUUCCUAACUUUGUUUCUCUCUCUGUCAUUAGGUGUUUAUGUUGUUGUGGAAACACCAGUGCCAGCCAUUUUGUGAUCUGCCACACCCAUACAGUUCUGCUCAUGUGCAAAUGAGAUAACAUUUAUUAUCUCAUUAACAUUUAACCACAGUGAAAUUGUAGUUAAGGAUAUAUAAUUUAGCUUGUGAAUGUAGUCUUAUGCUUAGUGACAAACAAUCUUUAGACCUAUCACAAAGGAUAUUUUUAUCAUAUUUUCUCCAAAGCCCUGAUUAGGAAGAGUUCAUCAUCAGGCACCAAACUCCACACAUGUACUUAACAGGAAAAUGUGAUAUGCUUUUUUUUCUUCUUCUUUCUUUUUUUUAAUUCUUUUUUUUUUUAGAGGUUUUGUUUUCAAACAUGCAUAUGUAUUAAAACACAAAAAACAGACUCUUUUGUAACCAAAAGUGCAAUUUCACGCUUAAUAUUACACACAACAUCUUUAAAUGUUUCUUCUACCCAUUGUAAGAGAUACUUAAUUUUUAUAGCAACAUGAACCUGAAAGAGGGCAGAAAACGAAAAUGAAGUGGGAAAUUGUAAGAGUUAGCUUUCUCUCAGACAAGGUGUGGACUUUACUCUCUCACCGAGUGUAGGUCUAAACUUAACGCUCAACAGGAAGCAGUGUCUUGCGCAUAUGUCUGGUCAGGAAGUGCCAUUAGCGAGCCCUUUGACUACUCUGUGGAGCAAGGGAUCAUGGGAGUCAGGAGCAGUUUUGAUGCCCAGCGUCACUAAAAAGACAACAACAAAGGGGGCGGGUUUGAAUUGUGUUUGCGUGUUUGACUCAGUUCAGUUUCCUGUCUACACACAAGAGAUGUUUACAGCCUACCAUGUCGAGUUUGGUCACAUAACCUGAGCCUGUGGCUUCCGCUGGUUAAUCUGAUGUGUACCGGAUGUGUGUAGGGUUUUUCCAUCAGGGCUAAGGACAGUGUGGUAAGGUGGUUGUAGUUGAACCUAUGGAGGUUUACUGUGUUAUAUGAAUGCACAGACUAAUUCAACCUGUAAGAAGGUUUUGCAUAAUUAUAAAGUAGCGAUUAAUUGUUAUAAGAUAAUGUUACUUUUUUAGAGCAUAACAAUUUAUACCAGAAGCUUUAAUGAAAAAAUUAUUAUCUCUCAAGUGCUUCAGAUCUCUCAUCUUUCCGCUAGAGGUGUGUAAAGGUGUUUAGAUCCUGAACACACUUGUAAUUGUUAUGCCUACAUUAAAAUCAGUGAAAAACUAUGAAAAAGAAAAGCCACCUGGCAUGUUUUUGAUGCAGAGUGCUGCAUCAUCAUGGUGUGCAAGCUAGAGCUGUGUCUCAGAACAAAAAUAAAUAUUGGAUGGGCCAUUUUUCCUCUCACGUGGAUGGGUGGGUUCUUUUCAGUAACAUUCAGCACAGCUCCUUUAAAAGCCUCUGUGGGUUUGGGACCCAUGGGUUUGCAGAUUAAAGUCCCCAUGAAAUCAAAAUUGAAGUUUUGUUGCUUUUAGUAUGAAUAUGUUAGCCUUAAGGUUAUCUAUAAGUGAGUUUGCUCCAAAACAACAACAAAAUUAGCAUUUAGAAGAUAUAUGCAUUCAAAAUUUACAGUGUCUCUCUACCACCAAUACGGAUCAACAAUUUUCCUGACAUCAUUCUGCUUCUCAUCAAUUUUUCUGUCCAAUAAAAUACUUUCUAGAAGUGUCCCGCCCCCAACAUUAUAUUAGUUUGAACAUGCGUAUUUUCUUCAGUUUUCCAACUGUAAGUGGUUAAGAACGAAAUGGCUUGAAUUAAUUUACUUUGAAGACUGAGGUAUUUGUGCCAGAUUACAGCUUUGGGCCAAGUGUUAUCUUAGAUCGGGCUGUGAGAUAAGCUAAAUAAGUCUGUUUAAAUAAGUGGGAGGAGCCACUUAAUAUGUCCUGCCCUGACUUUGUUUUUCAGUGGGAAUUAUGUCAACACAUCGAAUAACAUUGCGUGUUUCAAAGCACUUCACAGGGACUUUAAGUUAUCCACUGUCAUUGUGAUCACACUGUGAUCAGUUUAUUAAUCCAUUGAGCUUUUCACUCCUACAAUGAUGAACUUCAAAUUUUCAAGGAAUUUGGAUUUUACCCAAUACAAUAGAGUGCUGUAGGACAAGGGCUGGAAUAGUAAGCUGUGAAGCUUGUACUGUGCUUUUAAUAUUUCUGCUACUGACAGGAGGAAAGUUUAGUUAAUGAUGUCAGCUCACAUCAUGUUUGUCUACCCUGUCGCUUGGUCCUACUCUUUUCUUUUUCAUCUGCGUAUUUUUUUUUUUAGUUAGAGCUGUGUAUGGACUGCGUGUACACACAGAUGUGAUGCAAGUAAUGUCAAAUCAACAAGUGAUGUCAAAUCUACAUGGCCGCUCACAGCAUCAGCAGUAUACAAAGUAGCACUUCUUACCUUUAAAUGAGUUAUGCUGUAUAUACAAGUAUUUGCUUUGUAUCAAUCAACAUACAAAUGUUUUGUCUUGUUAAGUCUAUAAAAUGGGGGCACGGUGGCUUAGUGGUUAGCACAUUUGCCUCGAACCUCCAGGGUUGGGGGUUCGAUUCCCACCUCUGCCCUGUGUGCACGGAGCUUGAAUGUUCUCCCUGUGCUUUGGGGGUUUCCUCUGGGUACUCUGCUUUCCUCCCCAGUCCAAAGAGUUGUGUUGUUGGCUGAUUGGCAUGUCUAAAUUGUCCGUAGGGUGAAUGGGUGUGCGUGUGUGAUUGUGCCCUGCGAUGGGUUGGCACCCUGUCCAAGGUGUCCUCCACCUCAUGCCCUGAAUCCCCUGGGAUAGGCUCUAGGCUUCCCCACCACCCAGGAUAAGCAGGAUGGAUGGCUCUAUUAAGUAAAUAUCAUUGGUGACAUUGGUGCACCACAGCCAUGCUCUGGCCCUUUAAAUGUAUAGUAUGUGUUCUGGAUUGACUGAGCCUUUCCAGGGCUUUCCUCUGCUCACACACAUUGCAGGGUGUUUACACUGCAAAUCCCAGACUGUUUGCUUUAGAGAAGCCCUGCCUGUCCAGCCUCCCUUUCUCACACUGAUCAAGCUUCAGCUUCAUACCACAAUGAUAGUUCAACUUGUUAUUAUAUUGUUAAUAUAUGUUAUAUUGUUAUUAUAACACGAUCACAUUAUUAUUGCUAAAUGAUUUUCUGACCUGAGGCACAGUUCUGUUUGUAGUAUUUUUCAAAUUCAUCACAUAACGUUAUACGCUUUUGGUGAAAAUAAUUUCCAGGAUGAUUCCACAAAGGGUUUACACAAUGCUGCAUUUAUCACAGAAGCACAAAUUCUUACCUUCCUAAGCAUCCUCCACUUAUUACAAUGUUCCAUGUGUAGAAUAAUGCAGUUUAUAUCAAUUCUCGAAUCUGAUUGGUCAGAAAGUGUUGAUAACCAAUAACAACAGCUCUGACACUAGUGCCGCCGUCUGUAAGAUUUGUAUUAAUGUGCUUGUUUGAAUACAUUAUCAUUUCUAUUGUAACAAUGUACAAAGACGCUUGUAUGGUGUAAUCAUUGAUACGGUUAAGCUUUCUGAGAGAUAGAGAGAAAAAUGAAGGUGAUGCUGGUGAGAGGGAACAACUGUUUAUAAUUGCUAUAACGUAAACGAUAGCAGGAACUAACCGUUUGUUUCUUUUAUGGUUCACAAUAUUAAAUCUUAACUAUAAAUCGUUAAAAUAUGCAAUGUGUCAUUUAUUAAUAAAUGAAACAUUGUAAUUGCUGGCAAAUCGCUGUGGAAUAUGUAUAAGUGGAACAACACACUCGACACAAUGCGGCUAUAUGACAGUAAUCUAGAGCUGCAACUAACGAUUAUUUUCAUAAUCCAUUAGUUUAGAUUACUUUUUCCGAUUGAUCGAUUAAUCGGAUUGGGGCAAACUUUCAGUACCAUUUUUUCGUUUAUUUAAAAUAAAAUCCACAAACUGAGUGUUACAAAUAUAAACUUCAGACUAAAACUUUGCACAGCUGUUUGUCCAAUUAUAUAAAACUGAAAAGAACCCAAUACACACACACACACACACACACACACACACACACACACACCAGAAUAUAUAUUAUUCAUUUAGGACUGUAGUUUAAUUUCGUGAUUUUUGUGCAUCCAUAAAAAAUAUUGGAUAAAUACUUAUAUAUAAUAUAAACUAAUAUAUUUAAAGUUUAUAUUACAUAAUUUACAUUACAUUUAUGGAUGCCCAAAAAACCAAUGGAUUAAACUACAGUCCUAAAUUAAUAAUAAAACCUCACUUUCACUGCACCUUGUGGUUUCUGUUCCUCACUGCCUUUAGACAUAUUAUUUCGGAUACAAACAUAGGUAUGUGCUCGUGCAUCGCUAUCAUGUGUCCGUGCUACACAAUCUCCGCAAUGUUUGAUCAUCUCCACGGUGUUUAAUAUAAAAUGCUACCCUGCCUUAGAGGAAUUGGAGGUCGCACACUUUCUUCCUCAGUCACUUGAUGAUUUCGCCUCCGUCUGAUGGUGACUGAGGUCAUGUUGGGCAUAAAAGGUAACAUUGACAUAAACAGUAAACUGAAGAAAGUCAUUGUCGAUGCCUCUGGGUAUCUGCUAAAGCUAGCAGCGUCGCAUUACGUGGAAAAACAAAGUGUUACGUGCAUUUGUUUUAUGUAUUGGAAAGUUACUCAAUUACUUCAGGGCUUGUUUCCAAAUUGAAAAUAGCAGUUUGUAGUUUUAUUAUUGAUUGGGAUAGAGCAUGAAGUUAUUAUGUAAUAAACUGCAAAUUUCAAGAUCUAAUGGCAAUAUUCUAAUCUCUCACAUUUGUUAUUUAGAAAACAAGGAAUAAAAAUAUAUUAGAGUAGUUAGGAAAUAAACUUGUUAAUAUAGAUUGAUGAACCCAUUGACGACGCAUGCAGAUGAAUAAAUUGAGGUCAUUUGAGAGAACAGCUACUGCGUGACUAAGAGUCUUGUCAUCUUUUUAAAGCGAGUGAUGAUACGCUGACCUCGUAGUGAAGUAAUCCUCUCCCUAAUCACACUGCCUCAGGUCUGUUCUGGAUCAGUGAGAAGGUACGGUAAAGAUGAGUAAUUUAGGGAUGCUUCAUUCACCUUUGGGAUUGUAGCAGUCAUGCAGUUGUAGUCAUGAGGAUCAACUUGAGUCAAUGUGUGUAUAUGCACAUGUGUGAUAGCAAAUACUGGGGACACACUGGAUAGAUAGAUCGAUAGAUAGAUAGAAAGAAACUUCCUUAAUCCCAAGGGAAAUUGCAGAAGAUGUCUAGAGGAAUGACGAAUGUGACUCACUGACCUGAGUGGGCCAUUUCCUCUACUACUGCUAAUAGUACAUCACACAUACACUCGCGCACACGCACACACGCGCACGAUUGUAACCCCUUUGUCUACCAAUACACCUCGGGGUUUUUUUUAUUAUUAUUUUUGGUUUCCAUUUUCCUUAUUUGGUCAUGGUUUCCUGUUCUCAAUAACACAUGCUUCUCUCUGGUUUGGUUUUGUUUCCAGCUUCUCUAUUUACGCUCACUGUUUCCCACCUAAUUCUUGUGAAGUCUUUUUGAGUUCAUUGCAGUUUACAGAUGUGUCUUUUCACACAAAAGUCCCUUGUUUGUCUUUUACUGUAACUUCUUAGUUUCAGAUGUUCAGUGUAUUGUAUUUGUUUUCUAGUUUUUAAUGUGGAUUUUUAAUGGGCAUU
Molecule: long non-coding RNA, 11677 nt
Organism: Ictalurus furcatus (blue catfish)
Lineage: Eukaryota; Metazoa; Chordata; Actinopteri; Siluriformes; Ictaluridae
Exons: 2
Source: RefSeq, a predicted model, not a curated record